RNAcentral lists this ribosomal RNA (266 nucleotides) under uncultured prokaryote. RNAcentral's name for it is "partial 16S ribosomal RNA". It matches the Rfam family "Bacterial small subunit ribosomal RNA", at positions 524 to 789 of the family's 1533-position model. The record is from RNAcentral.
UACGUAGGUGGCGAGCGUUAUCCGGAAUUAUUGGGCGUAAAGAGCGCGCAGGUGGUUGAUUAAGUCUGAUGUGAAAGCCCACGGCUUAACCGUGGAGGGUCAUUGGAAACUGGUCGACUUGAGUGCAGAAGAGGGAAGUGGAAUUCCAUGUGUAGCGGUGAAAUGCGUAGAGAUAUGGAGGAACACCAGUGGCGAAGGCGGCUUCCUGGUCUGUAACUGACACUGAGGCGCGAAAGCGUGGGGAGCAAACAGGAUUAGAUACCCGU